RNAcentral lists this long non-coding RNA (438 nucleotides) under Anolis carolinensis (green anole). RNAcentral's name for it is "lncRNA (ENSACAG00000031222.2)". The record is from RNAcentral. Lineage: Eukaryota; Metazoa; Chordata; Lepidosauria; Squamata; Anolidae.
UCAGAGUCAUGGGUUUUGAAAGAAACUAAUAAAUCAUCUAUGACUCAGAAAGCAAUUUUAGCCUUGAAGAACACCUGUUUGUUUGGUUGGGUAGGAUUACUAUGAAAUUCUCGUGCUUUGAGAAAGUACAGUGCUCCAGCUGCAGGAAAGGGGAAAUGAUAUUUGGCAGAAUGGGAGCAUGCAGACGUCUUUUGUGAGGCUGUGUACGGUGUGUAGGAUGGAGUGACAAGAGCCCUGAGUGAAAGAUUCAUUGUCUUUGAAUAUGGCCUGCUUAGAAACCUUUCUUCAUUCUAUGCCACAUCAGGGUUACAUAUCUCACUGGGGAAGAUAAAGAGCGGCUCCAAACGGAUGUUGGUCGGGAAGGGGGAAAUCUUUUGUUCCCAAAUUCCUUUCAAAUUCCUGGAUGAAAGCCACUCUGUCCUGGUGUGCAAAUGUAAG